RNAcentral lists this ribosomal RNA (291 nucleotides) under uncultured bacterium. Its description in RNAcentral is "partial 16S ribosomal RNA". It matches the Rfam family "Bacterial small subunit ribosomal RNA", at positions 1085 to 1383 of the family's 1533-position model. The record is from RNAcentral.
UCCCGCACCAAGCGCAACUCUUGCCUUUAAUUGCUACCAUUCAUUGGGACUUAGAGGGACUGCCGAGGAUAACUCGGAGGAGGUGGGAAUGAAGUCAAUUCUCAUGCCCUUUAUGCUUAGGGCUACACACGUGCUAAAUGGGUGGUACAGAGGGUUGCCAAGCCGCGAGGUGGAGCUAAUCCCUUAAAGCCAUUCUCAGUUCGGAUUGUAGGCUGAAACUCGCCUACAUGAAGCUGGAGUUACUAGUAAUCGCAGAUCAGAAUGCUGCGGUGAAUGCGUUCCCGGGUCUUG